RNAcentral lists this long non-coding RNA (228 nucleotides) under Capsella grandiflora. RNAcentral describes it as "long non-coding RNA (CGRA_LNC001462)". Lineage: Eukaryota; Viridiplantae; Streptophyta; Magnoliopsida; Brassicales; Brassicaceae. The record is from RNAcentral.
UGAUUAUCCAGGCAAGUUCAAGGCCACAAUAAACACAAUAAAGAACUUAGUUCUACUAGAAAACGAAGUUGUGUUAGACCUGCUGUCUAAGUUUACAUCAAAGUCCGGAUGGUUCAAGACAUCAUGUUCACCAUAUGGCCGAAUAAACUCGACAGGUAUUAACAAUGAGUAAGUUCAAAGCUGAAAAACGCCACCAACUCAGAUACAGUUAGUUUUCGCAUAUACUCU